RNAcentral lists this ribosomal RNA (301 nucleotides) under uncultured bacterium. RNAcentral describes it as "partial 16S ribosomal RNA". It matches the Rfam family "Bacterial small subunit ribosomal RNA", at positions 509 to 807 of the family's 1533-position model. The record is from RNAcentral.
CAGUCGCCGCGGUAAUCCGGAGGGUGCAAGCGUUAAUCGGAAUUACUGGGCGUAAAGCGCACGCAGGCGGUCUGUCAAGUCAGAUGUGAAAUCCCCGGGCUUAACCUGGGAACUGCAUUUGAAACUGUCAGGCUGGAGUCUUGUAGAGGGGGGUAGAAUUCCAGGUGUAGCGGUGAAAUGCGUAGAGAUCUGGAGGAAUACCGGUGGCGAAGGCGGCCCCCUGGACAAAGACUGACGCUCAGGUGCGAAAGCGUGGGGAGCAAACAGGAUUAGAUACCCCAGUAGUCCCUGUCUCUUAUAC